RNAcentral lists this non-coding RNA (147 nucleotides) under Nomascus leucogenys (northern white-cheeked gibbon). The record is from Rfam by way of RNAcentral. Lineage: Eukaryota; Metazoa; Chordata; Mammalia; Primates; Hylobatidae.
GCUGGGCGUGGUGGCGCAUGCCUGUCAUCCCAGCUACUCGGGAGGCUGAGGCAGGAGAAUUGCUUGAACCAGGGAGCUGGAGGUUGCAGUGAGCCAAGAUAGUGCCACUGCACUCCAGCCUGGUGGCAGAGCGAGACUCUGUCUCAA